This 2190-nucleotide long non-coding RNA is filed under the name Ovis aries (sheep). RNAcentral's name for it is "lncRNA (ENSOARG00000026776.1)". Lineage: Eukaryota; Metazoa; Chordata; Mammalia; Artiodactyla; Bovidae. The record is from RNAcentral.
AUGCCCAGCUGCGGCCGCAUGGACGCCCCCACUGAGACGGGGCCCCUGGGCCUGGGGUGGGGGGCGCCUUCUCGGCCCGCAGGGGGCUCUGAGAAAGCACGUGUCACGGGCAGGCAGGGCCAGGGAGCACCGCUCACCCCUGACCAACUCAGAAACAUCCGCCUGGUUACCCCGAACCAGGCCCCAGUGUGCAGGGUGAGGGCAACCCCCUGGAACGGGCGGUCUCAGCUCCAUUUACACAACGUCUCCCCAGGCAGCGCCUGGAUGGGCGGUGGGGGCCGCUCUGACUGCAGGAGAGCUUGGGAGAUGAACCCGAAGGAGGCAAUGGGCUGUGGCUUCCCACGAAACAUGCGAGACCCCCAGGUCCUCUCAUCUAAAAGGCGCCAGUGACACCCACCUGGCCCAGCCUCCCGUUGUCGGUCCCAGCACGGCCUGGACACGAGAGCGUCCCCAAAACCUGAGGCUUCUGCGGGCUGGGACUGGACACACGCGAGCAUAACAGACACAAAAGUUACACCUGAAAGAUCUCCGCUCCAACUUCUGGUCGAUGUGCUCAGCCAGAAGGUCAGAGCGCGGAAUUUGCUGGAUAAAUAAAUGUUGGUGGGGCGGAUGAAUCACCGGAGAAUUGGUGCAUGGCAGCGAAUGAAUAGCCUGCAAAUGCCGCCCAGACCCCAUUAUUUCCGCUUCUCCCGCAGCCUGAGAUUCAUGUCCCCGCAUGCCGCCAGUUCAUUACCGACCAGCAUCAUCCCUCUUCCGCACUCGCUGGGCAGUGCGCGGCCCCUGGAGGGCCCUUUACUGCUUAAUUCCCCAUCAUCCGCUCCACUGAACAGCUUAAUCUCUGCUUGUAUGAUCAAUACUAUAUCAGUGUAAAUUAAAAUGACAAUUUUAAAGUAAUUAAGCCUGUUAAUGCUCGAUUCAAAUGUCAUUAUUUGCACAAGGGAUCGAGGAGAAAUUACACGGUGUCUGGGGUGACAGGAAGAUGUCUGAGCCGGGGCCGGCCGCUGUGCGGAGCCACUGGGGGCUUCAGCAAAGCGGAUUAACUCUGCUGCGCCCCGCCAGGCUACCUACCCAAUUUCUGAAGAGGAUAACGCAAUUUGAUAAAUCUAAUUCCAGCGACAAACUCAAUUAUUGUGAUAACAGAUGAAACCUGGGAGGAGGUUCUGUACCAGGUCCACAGUUUAGAAAAUACACUUAACUCCGGAACGAGGUACAACAGUUUUGAUUUGAUUGGAUUUGUUCUCUCUCUUCGGAAAACCCUUUAGGUAAUUUCAGUGGUUGGAAGAAGGGCCUGCGUUUAUUGAAUAGUGGGGCUCUGAGCCCAGUGGGGCCACAGCCCUGUGCUCGGAACGCCGCACUUAUACAGCACAAUCAGAUCACGCAUUCCCAGGUCCUGGGGGCUAACACAGAAACCUUGGCCUUGCCCGAUCCCGGCUGGUCUGGGCCCAGCUCGGACAGCUGGGUCCAGCCUUUGUUUUCCUGAGUGGUGCAGGGAGUGAGGGGGUUUAUAUAAAGAAAAUUAGACAAACAGAAAGCAGCUCAGCUUUACCCGCCCGUGACCCAGAGCGCUGGGCACACAGCACAGCCGGCCCGGCUGACCGAGCCUCCUGUGCAGGCACUUCUGCACUUGGGCCACUUAUGGGGGGUGGUGCACAUGGGGGGCACUGGCCCGAGUCCCGGGGGCGCCGCUCCGAGGGGACACCGGCCGGCCCUGGGCCCCGUUUAUCAGAUCAGCACUAAGAAUUGACAACCAAGCAUUAACAUCAAGAUGAAGAGAGAACUGUAGCCGUCGGGCGCCCGGGCCGGCCCUGGGCCCCGUUUAUCAGAUCAGCACUAAGAAUUGACAACCAAGCAUUAACAUCAAGAUGAAGAGAGAACUGUAGCCGUCUCUGCCUGAAAGCCCGGUAAACCGUGCAGCCGGCCUUCCAAGGCUCUGUCCAGAAUGUGGCCCCGGGGAGCAGAAGGGGCCUGGCCACACGGGGCCAGGACCGCCAGCUCUGACCCUGGUUUGCGUGUCGUCGGAGCCUCACGCCCGCUGCGGAGGAGGGCCCGUCAGGACCCCUGUACCUGGCGAGCCCACGCCGUUCCCCUCUGGCCGACGGCGCUGGCACACACAGGACGUGGCAUAACGUGGACGGGCGAGCCCCACAGACACAGAUCCAGAAAGGGCUGUGGAGGCACGCCCCCACCCGC